This 259-nucleotide long non-coding RNA is filed under the name Callithrix jacchus (white-tufted-ear marmoset). RNAcentral describes it as "lncRNA (ENSCJAG00000071836.1)". The record is from RNAcentral. Lineage: Eukaryota; Metazoa; Chordata; Mammalia; Primates; Cebidae.
CGGGUGGCGGGUGACAGGUCGCGGGCAGGCACGUGCCGGGCCCUUGCGGUCGGUCGGCGGAGGGGAUCAAGGCAGGGCUCGGUGUCCGCGGUCGGAGUGGGGUCUGGCGUCCCGUUGACCGUCGCCGUCGUCCUCGUUAGUAUAGUGGCUCUCUUCCAGGUUUGAGACCCUCUAGCUGGACAAGAUUCCCGGGCUCGCGUUCAGUUCUCAACACGAGACCACUGGCUAUGGCGCCGGGCAGGCGGAGCUGUGACUAUCA